UUUCGCAAUGCCCGAAAGGGUGACUAUGCGACGCCGCGUGAGCGAUGGAGGUCUUCGGAUUGUAAAGCUCUGUCAUGUGGGAUGAAUAUCACGAGCUUAACAAGCAAGUGAGAUGACAGUACCACAGGAGGAAGCCACGGCUAACUCCGUGCCAGCAGCCGCGGUAAUACGGAGGUGGCGAGCGUUGUUCGGAAUUACUGGGCGUAAAGGGCGCGUAGGCGGAAUGGUCCGUCCGAUGUGAAAGUGCUACCGCUCAACGGAGCAAAGCCAUCGGAAACCGCCAUUCUUGAGUCCGGGAGAGGUGAGUGGAAUUGCCAGUGUAGCGGUGGAAUGUGUAGAUAUUGGCAAGAACACCGGUGGCGAAGGCGGCUCACUGGCCCGGUUCUGACGCUGAGUGCGCGAAAGCGUGGGGAGCGAACAGGAUUAGAUACCCUGGUAGUCCUAGCCGUAAACGAUGGGCACUAAGUAGAGGGGUUUUAAUCUC
Molecule: ribosomal RNA, 484 nt
Filed under: uncultured bacterium
Lineage: Bacteria
Description: bacterial SSU rRNA
Rfam family: Bacterial small subunit ribosomal RNA
Source: RNAcentral